RNAcentral lists this ribosomal RNA (400 nucleotides) under uncultured bacterium. Its description in RNAcentral is "bacterial SSU rRNA". It matches the Rfam family "Bacterial small subunit ribosomal RNA", at positions 356 to 773 of the family's 1533-position model. The record is from RNAcentral.
UGGGGAUAUUGCACAAUGGAGGAAACUCUGAUGCAGCGACGCCGCGUGAGGGAAGAAGGUUUUCGGAUUGUAAACCUCUGUCUUCGGGGACGAUAAUGACGGUACCCGAGGAGGAAGCCACGGCUAACUACGUGCCAGCAGCCGCGGUAAUACGUAGGUGGCAAGCGUUGUCCGGAAUUACUGGGUGUAAAGGGAGCGUAGGCGGUUUGGUAAGUUGAGUGUGAAAUCUACCGGCUUAACUGGUAGGCUGCGCUCAAAACUACCAAACUUGAGUGAAGUAGAGGCAGGCGGAAUUCCCGGUGUAGCGGUGGAAUGCGUAGAUAUCGGGAGGAACACCAGUGGCGAAGGCGGCCUGCUGGGCUUUUACUGACGCUGAGGCUCGAAAGCAUGGGGAGCAAAC